RNAcentral lists this long non-coding RNA (1871 nucleotides) under Helianthus annuus (common sunflower). The record is from RNAcentral. Lineage: Eukaryota; Viridiplantae; Streptophyta; Magnoliopsida; Asterales; Asteraceae.
CCAAGGCCCACAUUAGACGCAAUUCCUAAUCUGGUUUGAACAAUUAUGCGUGAAUCAUAAGAACCAAAUUGACCUGAUACAUCUUCUCCAUCCAUUGAAACCCUAGCACCACUAUAAUCAGCCACAUGCGCCGAAUAACCUCCUGAUUGACGUCGUUUUGCCAUCUAACACCGCCAUAACUUUGAUUGUUCCGACCACCAUAACCCUGAUUGUUGUGCCGACCACCUGAACAGCCACCAGAAUUGCGACCACCACGCCACCGACCACCGCCGGAGCGUCCACCAUUACCACAGGAGAAAUGAAAAUAGCAUAUUGAAGCUUUGUGCUCUGAUUUUUCACAAAUCUGACAAACUACAGAAGAUUUAUUUGAGGAAUCAUGUGGUGAAUUAUUGAUAUGCAUCGCAGCCAUGGCAGAAAUCGAUACAGAGGAUGUGAACUGAGAUGCAGACAGUUUCAACCGAGAUUCAUGAGGAAUGAAAUUGAGAUCGAUACAAGUUCUAAUUAGCAAAGACCUGCUGAUUGAACAAUUCUUCAAUUUUUCGCCAUAACUCAGAUGAUGAAACAGUACCUCUAGCCAGAUGUAUCAGAGAUGGUGAGAGAUUUGCAGUAAUGAAAGCUGAUACAUACGUAUCUGACCGUUCCCAAGCAGAUUUGGCUUCAACAUCUUCAGGCGGUGUAAUUUCACGAUUUAGAAAGUGAAGAAGCCCUAAUGUCUUCAAAAUUGUCAAUGUCUGAUGUUGCCAGUUUAAAAAAUUGGUGUUAUCAAGUUUAAUAGGCAUCAGAUGACGCCAUAGAAACACAGAUCUGAAGAUGAUAUCACCGAAAGAUGAUGAUAUCAAUGAAGAAAAGAAGAAGAGGAAGAAGAUAGAAUGAAGAGAAGAAAGAACUGUCUAUAUAGAAGUAGAAACAGAGUAGCCGGAAUCCGGCCAGAGUUGCCAGAAAGCACGUCGGAUUAGAUGAUCAAUCACAGGUUCAGAAGUAGCUCUGAUACCAUGUGUGAAAGUAGAGAAUGAAGAGAAUAGUUGUAUCAUUGAUCACAAAUGAAAGGUACACACCUAUUUAUAUACACAAACUCAACCACCUCAACUAACUCUAACAACUUAACUAACUAUCCAGCCUGUCCAACUAUACACCACACAUAUCACACACUCAUAUACACUAAUAGGAACAAUCUAUGAAUGUGAUAUGAUUAACGGUGUGUUAUGUCCUUUAACGUUGUCUCGAGUGACGACGUUCCCAGGAAAAGAGUUUGGGUGCUUAACUGUUUCGUGGGCGUAUUUACUCGAGUGGGGGUAUGACAAUUUGCUAAUGGUUACUCGUGAACAUUAUUAUUUCAAGAAACAAGAUGUUGAGUACAGGCUUAUGGGGCGUAUAGGACUAGUAGGUUUCAAUGUUUUGUGUUCGAAUUAUACAAUGGAAAGUGGUCGAAAAUCACAAGUUUGGGGAAUAAAGCGAUCUUUAUAGGGUUCAAUUCGUCGUUUGCUAUCGAUGGUGGUGAAGGUGUGAAGCCGAAUUGUAUUUAUUUCACUGAUGAUCUUUAUGAACCGUACCAUCUUCUACCAAAUGGUGGUGGUGGAGACGUGGGGAUAUAUCAUAUGCUUAACGGUAGAACUGAAAACGUCUUUGAGUCACAAGAAUCAGUUUUCCGGUCUAGUCCUCCUUUAUGGCUUCAAACAAGCACUCCUUCGGUAAUUGAGAAAAUUGAGUAGUUGUUUAAGGCUAGAAAUUAGGCUACUUGUAUGGUACUAUGGGAUAAACCGUCAUGUCAACGAUUAAUUGAUGAAUCCGAACACUAUUCAUACUCAUUCAUGUGAAAUACAUCUACACCUCACAUCUAGCGAAUGUUCAUUAUUAACAACUCAUAAUGAUUU